Molecule: ribosomal RNA, 634 nt
Filed under: Bacillus sp. enrichment culture clone PM2.5a
Lineage: Bacteria; Bacillati; Bacillota; Bacilli; Caryophanales; Bacillaceae
Description: bacterial SSU rRNA
Rfam family: Bacterial small subunit ribosomal RNA
Source: RNAcentral
AAGUUAGCGGCGGACGGGUGAGUAACACGUGGGUAACCUGCCCAUAAGACUGGGAUAACUCCGGGAAACCGGGGCUAAUACCGGAUAACAUUUUGAACCGCAUGGUUCGAAAUUGAAAGGCGGCUUCGGCUGUCACUUAUGGAUGGACCCGCGUCGCAUUAGCUAGUUGGUGAGGUAACGGCUCACCAAGGCAACGAUGCGUAGCCGACCUGAGAGGGUGAUCGGCCACACUGGGACUGAGACACGGCCCAGACUCCUACGGGAGGCAGCAGUAGGGAAUCUUCCGCAAUGGACGAAAGUCUGACGGAGCAACGCCGCGUGAGUGAUGAAGGCUUUCGGGUCGUAAAACUCUGUUGUUAGGGAAGAACAAGUGCUAGUUGAAUAAGCUGGCACCUUGACGGUACCUAACCAGAAAGCCACGGCUAACUACGUGCCAGCAGCCGCGGUAAUACGUAGGUGGCAAGCGUUAUCCGGAAUUAUUGGGCGUAAAGCGCGCGCAGGUGGUUUCUUAAGUCUGAUGUGAAAGCCCACGGCUCAACCGUGGAGGGUCAUUGGAAACUGGGAGACUUGAGUGCAGAAGAGGAAAGUGGAAUUCCAUGUGUAGCGGUGAAAUGCGUAGAGAUAUGGAGGAACA